CUGCUCAGUAACACGUGGAUAACCUGCCCUUGGGUCCGGCAUAACCCCGGGAAACUGGGGAUAAUUCCGGAUAACGCACAUAUGCUGGAAUGCUUUAUGCGUCAAAUGGAUUCGUCUGCCCAAGGAUGGGUCUGCGGCCUAUCAGGUAGUAGUGGGUGUAAUGUACCUACUAGCCGACGACGGGUACGGGUUGUGAGAGCAAGAGCCCGGAGAUGGAUUCUGAGACAUGAAUCCAGGCCCUACGGGGCGCAGCGGGCGCGAAAACUUUACAAUGCGGGAAACCGUGAUAAGGGGACACCGAGUGCCAGCAUCAUAUGCUGGCUGUCCGGGUGUGUAAAAUACACCUGUUAGCAAGGGCCGGGCAAGACCGGUGCCAGCCGCCGCGGUAACACCGGCGGCCCGAGUGGUGAUCGUGAUUAUUGGGUCUAAAGGGUCCGUAGCCGGUUUGGUCAGUCCUCCGGGAAAUCUGACGGCUUAACCGUUAGGCUUUCGGAGGAUACUGCCAGGCUUGGAACCGGGAGAGGUAAGAGGUACUACAGGGGUAGGAGUGAAAUCUUGUAAUCCCUGUGGGACCACCUGUGGCGAAGGCGUCUUACCAGAACGGGUUCGACGGUGAGGGACGAAAGCUGGGGGCACGAACCGGAUUAGAUACCCGGGUAGUCCCAGCCGUAAACGAUGCUCGCUAGGUGUCAGGCAUGGCGCGACCGUGUCUGGUGCCGCAGGGAAGCCGUGAAGCGAGCCACCUGGGAAGUACGGCCGCAAGGCUGAAACUUAAAGGAAUUGGCGGGGGAGCAC
This 795-nucleotide ribosomal RNA is filed under the name uncultured archaeon. RNAcentral describes it as "bacterial SSU rRNA". It matches the Rfam family "Archaeal small subunit ribosomal RNA", at positions 86 to 879 of the family's 1478-position model. The record is from RNAcentral.